AACGCACAUUGCGCCCACCAGCAUUCUGGUGGGCAUGCCUAUUCGAGCGUCAUUGCAACCCCUUAAGCCUUGUAGCUUAGCGUUGGGGGACCACGCCUCCGCGGCGUGGCCCCUGAAAAGCAGUGGCGGCGCCGGCGAGCACCCUCAGCGUAGUACUUCUUCUCGCUUCGGGGGCCUGCCGCUGGCUGCUGGCCGUAAAAACCCCUAUACUCUUAGUGGUUGACCUCGAAUUAGGUAGGAAUACCCGCUGAACUUAA
RNAcentral lists this unclassified non-coding RNA (257 nucleotides) under uncultured fungus. RNAcentral's name for it is "partial contains 5.8S ribosomal RNA, internal transcribed spacer 2, and large subunit ribosomal RNA". The record is from RNAcentral. Lineage: Eukaryota; Fungi.